This 124-nucleotide ribosomal RNA is filed under the name Danio rerio (zebrafish). Lineage: Eukaryota; Metazoa; Chordata; Actinopteri; Cypriniformes; Danionidae. The record is from RNAcentral.
GGAAACACCCAUACACUCACAUUUACACUCGUUCUCAUACACGGUUACUCACUGAAGUUAAGCGGGGCUGAUGCUGGUCAUUAUCUAGAUGUGAGACCAAAUGGGAAAAAUUAGGUUGCUGUUG